UUGAUUUGUUCUCAUAUUUCGCACAAAAUUUUUCCAGGGGUUUAGUUUAGUUCAUGUUCUGUGGUUUCUUUUUUUUUAUUCCGGCGUGCGGACUAAAAAAGCAGUGAAUUUUAUAUGAUGUGCCUCAUUCAGUUUAGAGGAAUGAGAAAUAUUUUUGAGGAGAAAUGACAAUAGAAGCUCUUUAUGCAUUAGAUUUAGCAGCAGACAAUAAAAUGUUCACCAAGCUGACGGAUUAUCAUUAAAUACCUUCAAAGAUAUAUAAAAAAUAAGUAAAACUGUAUAGGAUCUCUGGAAAAUGUGAAAAAACGAGAUAUCAGAGAACAAAAUAAAUUACCAAGGUGAAGCUCAAUACAUAGCAGAAGUCAUCUUAUUUCUGGAUAACUUUUUGACAACCUCAAUGUCAAAACUUACUCUAAAGCUCAGGCCAAACCUGAGAGAAGAGCAGCUUCAAUGCAUGAACAAUUUUGGAUACAAAUUUGGAGUCUAUGAAAUUUUUAAAACAUCCCUACCGUAUAAAAAUUCUAUUUCGCAAGCUACUCUUUCUACUGAUUUUUAUUUUUACUUUUCUUCUUAUGUUGCUAAUUUAUUGAUAGUGGGUUAAAUUAAUAAUAUUUACUAAGGAACAUUACUGAUGAAUUGAGUUGUUAUUCCUCUUGUAACCACCUGGAUAAUAAAUCUACUUUACCAA
Anthonomus grandis grandis is the source of this 688-nucleotide long non-coding RNA. RefSeq lists it as uncharacterized. Lineage: Eukaryota; Metazoa; Arthropoda; Insecta; Coleoptera; Curculionidae. The record is from RefSeq and is a predicted model, not a curated record. The transcript is spliced from 2 exons.